Molecule: non-coding RNA, 1004 nt
Organism: Pelobates cultripes (western spadefoot toad)
Lineage: Eukaryota; Metazoa; Chordata; Amphibia; Anura; Pelobatidae
Source: the annotation of a GenBank genome assembly
UGGGAGAGGAAGAGAGGGGGUUGGUGGGGGCUAAUGCGAGUUCAGGUUUGCAAGGUCCUCUCUUGCAGAAGACAGCGUGAAGGGAAGAGGGUGAAAGAAGAGGGGGCACAGUCCUGGGGUUAUGUCCGAGGGCUGCUACCAUCACCACCACAGGCCAAAGAGAUAGCACCUAGUCCAAAGAAGCACAGAGAAGGUCUUGUGCAAGAGUGACGUUGUUUUAAGGAGCGAUACCACCCUGAAGGUACCAGGCCCUGUUUACCAGCUCAGCAACCUCUCCCAAUGCCCUGAGGCUGUUGCCCCCUCAUUAAACUCUCUGUUUGUUGGCCUUAAAAAGGAAACAUUAGCCAGCUUGCAUUAGCCACUUAUUACUUACCUGCACUUUUUAGAAAGCAUAUAAUCGGCUAUCAUUUGUAACCACUACCCCUCACUCACACAAAUGACCGUCACCUGCAGCUAAGGGCUCAGUGUAUACCUGCAACAUCCAUUAGGCUUUUCUGACAUCCCAAUUUAACUAGAAGCAAUUCACCCUUUUCCUGGGAAAGGAUUCAUUUUUCAUAAUGCAUCGUGCUCAAGUAAGGAUGAACCUGGCCAAAAGUGGGGAGUCAGCCCCUGAGCAAUUUGUCUCAUCAUCUCGAAGCUUCGGAAGGCCUCUGACAUCUCCCCCAAGCCCUGGCUUGUCCCCAAGACAUGUUAAGGUGACUCCGGAGACUGGGCAGCCGCAGCCCUCACCGCCUCAGUUUAUACGUAAGCUUAAGAACGCUGCCGUAGGCACGGGCUGUGACAUUCGCCUAAAGGUGGCAGUGUCCGGGUAUCCCUUGCCAAGUCUAAACUGGUACAAAAAUCAGGAACCUCUUAAUCCUGAUGGAGACGAAUACGGGACACUGUGUAUCAGGGACACUAAGAUGGAGGACGCUGGCGUAUACACCUGUGUGGCUCAUAAUACUUCGGGAGAAUCCACCACAAGCGCAGUACUCGCCAUCAUCGACUUAGAAGGUAAUAUUGGG